This 406-nucleotide ribosomal RNA is filed under the name uncultured bacterium. RNAcentral describes it as "partial 16S ribosomal RNA". It matches the Rfam family "Bacterial small subunit ribosomal RNA", at positions 29 to 526 of the family's 1533-position model. The record is from RNAcentral.
AUUGAACGCUGGCGGCAGGCCUAACACAUGCAAGUCGAACGAGUGGCGGACGGGUGAGUAAUGUCUGGGAAACUGCCCGAUGGAGGGGGAUAACUACUGGAAACGGUAGCUAAUACCGCAUACCAUCGGAUGUGCCCAGAUGGGAUUAGCUAGUAGGUGGGGUAACGGCUCACCUAGGCGACGAUACCUAGCUGGUCUGAGAGGAUGACCAGCAAAAAUGGAACGAAGACAGGGUCCAGACGCCUACGGGAGGAAGCAGUGGGGAAUAUUGCACAAUGGGCACAGUCCUACUGAGGAAAUGCCGCGUGUAUGAAGAAGGCCUUCGGGUUGUAAAGUACGUUCAGCGGGGAGGCGUUACUCGCAGAAGAAGCAACGGCUAACUCCGUGCCAGCAGCCGCGGUAAUAC